This 422-nucleotide unclassified non-coding RNA is filed under the name Hevea brasiliensis (rubber tree). The record is from RNAcentral. Lineage: Eukaryota; Viridiplantae; Streptophyta; Magnoliopsida; Malpighiales; Euphorbiaceae.
CUUUUGCGCCCAAUCUCUCUCAGUGCCCCUGUGCCUUCAAUAGCCAUGACUUAAUCAUUCACCCUUCACAACCCUCAUUGUCCGAAAUCCAAAUAACUUCUUUAUCUUUCUAGCUUUCAAAGCAAAUCUAAAAAUGAGCCUUAAUUCUAAUUUGCAAGCUGUCUUACAUUGCCUUGCAGGCUUUACUUUGGUUUUGAGUUCGAUAUAACAGCAAAAUAUAAUUAGUUUCCUAUGUUGCAAUUCAUGAACAGAUUAUAAAUAAAAUCACAUCAUAUUUAUUUACUUGAGUAUAACACAUCACCUUUACGGAUCCAAGCAUAUCAUUCUCAGAAUCCAUUUCAGUAACAUCAGCUAUCCCAGACUGCAGGUUUGAACGGUCAAGCAAUUUUGCAAUUGCGUUUUCAUCCCAGACAAUCUUGUUG